Molecule: long non-coding RNA, 952 nt
Organism: Triticum dicoccoides
Lineage: Eukaryota; Viridiplantae; Streptophyta; Magnoliopsida; Poales; Poaceae
Exons: 5
Source: RefSeq, a predicted model, not a curated record
UCCACCAUACCUGCUCCCCAGCCUCUCCCCACGGCCAUCAGGAGGAAGCCGAGCAGAGCAGCAGGAGAGGCGCUGGUUCCGCCAGAUCGGUUGCCCGCGCGCUGUGGGGAUGGCCCGAUGGGGAAGAUGGAGAGACGACGAGUUUAGGAGGCGCAUCGCAGGGCCUUGACCCUCUCUUCUCUGUAGCACAGGGUGAGAGAAGUUUAUGCUUCUGCUCACAGUCCCAACAUCCUCAUGGCAGGUCCAAAUCCCUGAGGUUUAUGACCUUGAUUUUGCCAUAGAGGUAGUAGAAGCAGAUAUAGUGCAAGAAGCCGACGCACUCAUAAUGUACACCCAUCACCUGAGGAAAGAGAGAAGAGCUUGACCAACGUCAGAACUAGAUGGGUCUGCCAACAAGUGAUGAAAUGCAAAAGCAAGACAUGCUCAAGAAAUUCAUGUCUUGGGUAAUCACGCUGAUUGCCUGAGGUGUUGAAAUGCCGUGCCUCUGUGUGCUAUGUUGUCGAGUACUUUCAUGUGCAGUACACAUGACAACUUGAAGAAAUACAUCCACCAAGAUGAUGCAUGAUACCCUCCCAGUCAAGCUUGGAGAUGGAACCGAGGGUUAUGCCAGUGGCUUCAUGCUUGGAACCGACAAGUGGGCCAGCAUCAUGAUGAACUGGUCAUGGUUUCACAACCACACAAACAUCCAGGAAGGUGUCAUAUGUGCCUUCCAUUUCAAGCGCAAGGCAAGGUGUCACGUCUCUCACUGUGCAUCGUCUCUAGGUGCACCACCGUCAACUACAGCUAUCGCCUAUACAUAUGAUCCGUGUAUCGACUCUGCCUCUCUUUGGGAGGUCACCCGUCUUUUGGAGGAUGUUAGACUUUAAUUUCAACCGAUUGUCGUGCUCUGUGAUCAUUCCUUCACCUUCUAAGGUUGUCACCUAUUAGUGAAUACUAUGUUUCUGUAGUUUUA